This 590-nucleotide ribosomal RNA is filed under the name Penicillium steckii. RNAcentral's name for it is "partial large subunit ribosomal RNA". It matches the Rfam family "Eukaryotic large subunit ribosomal RNA", at positions 52 to 657 of the family's 3401-position model. Lineage: Eukaryota; Fungi; Ascomycota; Eurotiomycetes; Eurotiales; Aspergillaceae. The record is from RNAcentral.
GGAGGAAAAGAAACCAACCGGGAUUGCCCUAGUAACGGCGAGUGAAGCGGCAAGAGCUCAAAUUUGAAAGCUGGCUCCUUCGGGGUCCGCAUUGUAAUUUGCAGAGGAUGCUUCGGAAUCGGCCCCCAUCUAAGUGCCCUGGAACGGGCCGUCAUAGAGGGUGAGAAUCCCGUCUGGGAUGGGGUGUCCGUGCCCGUGUGAAGCUCCUUCGACGAGUCGAGUUGUUUGGGAAUGCAGCUCUAAUUGGGUGGUAAAUUUCAUCUAAAGCUAAAUAUUGGCCGGAGACCGAUAGCGCACAAGUAGAGUGAUCGAAAGAUGAAAAGCACUUUGAAAAGAGAGUUAAAAAGCACGUGAAAUUGUUGAAAGGGAAGCGCUUGCGACCAGACUCGCCCGCGGGGUUCAGCCGGCAUUCGUGCCGGUGUACUUCCCCGCGGGCGGGCCAGCGUCGGUUUGGGCGGCCGGUCAAAGGCCCCUGGAAUGUAACGCCUCUCGGGGCGUCUUAUAGCCAGGGGUGCCAUGCGGCCUGCCCGGACCGAGGAACGCGCUUCGGCUCGGACGCUGGCAUAAUGGUCGUAAGCGACCCGUCUUGA